This 468-nucleotide ribosomal RNA is filed under the name uncultured bacterium. Its description in RNAcentral is "partial 16S ribosomal RNA". It matches the Rfam family "Bacterial small subunit ribosomal RNA", at positions 28 to 507 of the family's 1533-position model. The record is from RNAcentral.
GACGAACGCUGGCGGCGUGCUUAACACAUGCAAGUCGAACGGAAAGGCCCUGCUUUUGUGGGGUGCUCGAGUGGCGAACGGGUGAGUAACACGUGAGUAACCUGCCCUUGACUUUGGGAUAACUUCAGGAAACUGGGGCUAAUACCGGAUAGGAGCUCCUGCUGCAUGGUGGGGGUUGGAAAGUUUCGGCGGUUGGGGAUGGACUCGCGGCUUAUCAGCUUGUUGGUGGGGUAGUGGCUUACCAAGGCUUUGACGGGUAGCCGGCCUGAGAAGGUGACCGGCCACAUUGGGACUGAGAUACGGCCCAGACUCCUACGGGAGGCAGCAGUGGGGAAUAUUGCACAAUGGGCGGAAGCCUGAUGCAGCAACGCUGCGUGCGGGAUGACGGCCUUCGGGUUGUAAACCGCUUUCGCCUGUGACGAAGCGUGAGUGACGGUAAUGGGUAAAGAAGCACCGGCUAACUACGUG